CACACCGUAAAUGAUGCUCGCUAGGUGUAUAAUUCGCAUUGCGGAUUGUGUGCCGUAAGCUAACGCGUUAAGCGAGCCGCCUGAGUAGUAUAGUCGCAAGGCUGAAACUCAAAGGGAUAGGCGGGGGAACACACAAGCAGAGGAUUGUCUCGAUUAAUUGGAUAAUAAGCCAAGAAUCUUACCCCGGUUUGACAUCCUUCAAAUUCCGCAGAAACGUGGAAGUGCUCGGUUCGCCGAGAAUGAAGUGACAGGUGC
RNAcentral lists this ribosomal RNA (255 nucleotides) under uncultured bacterium. RNAcentral describes it as "partial 16S ribosomal RNA". It matches the Rfam family "Bacterial small subunit ribosomal RNA", at positions 796 to 1041 of the family's 1533-position model. The record is from RNAcentral.